UAUGUGAUCGUCUCUCGCAUAUCAAUAAGCGGAGGAAAAGAAACUAACAAGGAUUCCCCUAGUAACGGCGAGUGAAGCGGGAAGAGCUCAAAUUUGAAAUCUUAAGGGUUUCCCUUUACGAAUUGUAGUUUAAAGAAGUGUUUUCUGUUGAGGUUUUGGUAAAAGUUCUUUGGAAUAGGACAUCAUAGAGGGUGAGAAUCCCGUAUUUGACCAUUACUUUCAGCUUUGUGAUACACUUUCAAAGAGUCGGAUUGUUUGGGAAUGCAGUCCAAAAUGGGUGGUAAAUUUCAUCUAAAGCUAAAUAUUGGCGAGAGACCGAUAGCGAACAAGUACCGUGAGGGAAAGAUGAAAAGAACUUUGAAAAGAGAGUUAAACAGUACGUGAAAUUAUCAAAAGGGAAGCGUUUGACACCAGUGUUGUUUUUCUGAAAAUCAAUUAAAGAACUGUUUAUGCUAAGUUGUUUAGACUUUAUCAGCUAUCUGUUUAGUUUUGAGCUUUUCUUUAAUGCACUUUUCAGUUAACAAGUCAACAUCAAUUUCUUUUGCUGUAAAAAAGCUUGAGGAAGGUGGCUUGAGAUUCGUCUUAAGUGUUUAUAGCCUCUUGCCUAUGCAGUCGGAGAGAUUGAGGUCUGCAGCGUAGAUCCUUCGGGGCUAAAUGCAUUUGUGCUAAGUUAUAGCAUUUUAUAGACAACUUGUUGACUAUGAUUUGUCUUGUAGCUUACUCGCUUAUGUUAUUUUACCUACGCUUAGGAUGUUGAAGUCAUCGUAUCGCGC
This 773-nucleotide ribosomal RNA is filed under the name uncultured Neocallimastigales. Its description in RNAcentral is "partial large subunit ribosomal RNA". It matches the Rfam family "Eukaryotic large subunit ribosomal RNA", at positions 24 to 645 of the family's 3401-position model. Lineage: Eukaryota; Fungi; Neocallimastigomycota; Neocallimastigomycetes; Neocallimastigales. The record is from RNAcentral.